UUUCCGUUGGUGAACCAGCGGAAGGAUCAUUACAGAGUUCAUGCCCUUCGGGGUAGACCUCCCACCCAGUUUAAUUACUAUUGUUGCUUUGGCAGGCUGCCCUCACCAUGGGGCGUCCGGGUUCCGCCCGCGUCUUGCCUGCCAGAAGCCCCCUAAUUCUGUGUUCUGUGUCGUCUGAGUACUAUAUAAUAAGUUAAAACUUUCAACAACGGAUCUCUUGGUUCUG
This 226-nucleotide unclassified non-coding RNA is filed under the name plant metagenome. Its description in RNAcentral is "partial contains small subunit ribosomal RNA, internal transcribed spacer 1, and 5.8S ribosomal RNA". The record is from RNAcentral.